GACGAACGCUGGCGGCGUGCUUAACACAUGCAAGUCGAACGGAAAGGCCUCUUUCGGGGGGUACUCGAGUGGCGAACGGGUGAGUAACACGUGAGUAACCUGCCCUUGACUUUGGGAUAACUUCAGGAAACUGGGGCUAAUACCGGAUAGGAGCUCCUGCUGCAUGGUGGGGGUUGGACAGUUUCGGCGGUUGGGGAUGGACUCGCGGCUUAUCAGCUUGUUGGUGGGGUAGUGGCUUACCAAGGCUUUGACGGGUAGCCGGCCUGAGAGGGUGACCGGCCACAUUGGGACUGAGAUACGGCCCAGACUCCUACGGGAGGCAGCAGUGGGGAAUAUUGCACAAGGGGUGGAAGCCUGAUGCAGCAACGCCGUGUGCGGGAUGACGGCCUUCGGGUUGUAAACCGCUUUCGCUCAUGACGAAGCUUUGUGUGACGGUAGUGGGUAAAGAAGCACCGGCUAACUACGUG
This 467-nucleotide ribosomal RNA is filed under the name uncultured bacterium. RNAcentral's name for it is "partial 16S ribosomal RNA". It matches the Rfam family "Bacterial small subunit ribosomal RNA", at positions 28 to 507 of the family's 1533-position model. The record is from RNAcentral.